This is an RNA transcript of Pieris brassicae (large cabbage white), 3361 nucleotides long. RefSeq lists it as uncharacterized. The record is from RefSeq and is a predicted model, not a curated record. The transcript is spliced from 7 exons. Lineage: Eukaryota; Metazoa; Arthropoda; Insecta; Lepidoptera; Pieridae.
AGUAACACCGUUAACUACUGUUGUUGUUAUUUAGUUCCUAGUAGUACAUAACCUUUAGAGUGUCAUUAAAAAAUCCGUAAUUAGACGAGCAUAGAAAAAUAUCUAAUUGUGGUAAAUAACAAUUGCUAGGUCAAUAAAACCUUUUAGCAUUCGAAAGAAGUAGGCAAUAUCACACAAUCGCCCAUUCACUCACCUAUUUUAUGAUAUAUCAUCGUCAUGCUGAUCGUAAUAAACAUUUUAAUAAUGUUUUACGAUCAUUUGUUAAGCGAUUUGUGAUAUUUGCAAUGCAGUGACCCAUCCUAUUGGUGGGACUAUAUAUUACAACAACCAACAAACUACAACAGUGAACAAAAGUAGCUCUUCUAAUUUACAUUUUGUCUAUUUCUUUAUUUUGUUUCCUAUAUUUAUACGAUUUCAUUAAAUUAUAAAAGCAAGCAUGCAAACCUCAUACGCGAGUGUGUACAUUAUCUCUGUAGCGAGCUCGUCUAUGUUGUAACAACUGAACCAACAAGCGAUAAGAAUUAAAUUAUUUAGCAGCAAUUUUUCUUUUGUUAAAUUGUAGGCGUUUUACACCUAAUUAAAAAUUAAACGAAGGCUAGGGUCGUAGUUUCGGUUCAAUAUCGUGAGAAAAAUAAACAAUAAUAUCUUUGCGGAUUUUAACUAGCUAUAAUAAACUGUUAACAAUAGUGAACUUCCUGCAAAGCCGUCUCCAUAAACACACGUUAAUCGGUUAAGUUUGUUUUUACGAUUAUCGAAGCAAAGUUUAGUUUUUAGUUCCGAUUUUUUCGAUCUACGGAAACUUUUUUUGAUUAUGUAUCAAGUUGCCUAAGGAGGGAAAAAUGUGUCGUAAAUGUGAGUCAGCUUGGUGAGGUUGUAUGACUAAGAGCGUUUGAUGAAUGCGAAGGUAAGCUUAGGGGUUCGGGACUUUUGCCAGCAACACCUUUCUAACAGGAAAUGUCUUUUUUCAUAAACGAGCGAGGAAGCACAAAAUAGACUCAUACAAUUCUCUAUAAUGUGUUUUCCUUUACAUUUACAUUUAACCACUCUACGUCUUACUUUUAAAUACUAUUCGAUUGAAUUACAAUUGAAGAGAGAAUCGCUCAUUAGACUUCAAGAAAUUGGAUGAUUUGGACGUAACUUAAAAGUGGAUAAAACGAAAAAAUCAUCAAAUUUCUUGUUUUAUUAGAAUGCAUUAAAAACCUUUUAAAUAAAAAGUAUUGAAUGUUUUAAUUUUUAAGGAGAUACUAUUUUGCCCCGCAGUGCUUAUACAAACAUUGCAAGUAAUGUCGCGGUUAAAUGUUAGCUUUUAUGUAUAAUUCGUAUAAGUAUCGCGCAAUUUAACCACUCAUAGUUAUUAUAAGGAAAAUGUUACUGUGAAUAACUCAAUUUUAUGCAGGAAAAUUAUUGAUUUUUCGACCGAUAUGGUUAAGUGCGUGUAUUAUCUUGGUUAAAAGAAAGUCCCAAUAUGUUUCUUCACGCCCCUUAGUAGGCGAUUGGUCUACUAUAAGGAUUAUUCCACACGGAAUACACCAGCUAUCUCCCAUUAUCCUGUAUCUACUUCAACUCGGGGCGUCUUCCAUUUCAACCGCUACGCGCCAGAGUUUACUUUUUGACAGCCUUCCACGCAAAUAUUGCUAGCGUUAUUUUAUGUGCUGUCACUGUCAAUGCACUAUCUGUGGCACUUGACAGACGUGUUAUGGAGGGUGCAAUGCUGGCCAGCUCAAGUGGUCCGUGUGGGUGGUUAUCUCUGUCUCUCUAUGCGAAUGGUGCUACCCCUCUUCUUGUUGGAUGCAACUAUGUAUUAUCCUUGCUUACUAUACCAGUAAUACAUCUUUUAUUGUGUGGCAAAGCUCCAACUCCUUCUAUGGAAGAUCUAAAAACAGCAGCAGUUACAGCAGUUUUGCCCUAUUUAAUGGGAAUUUGUGGUGCAUCAAAAGCGCAGAACAGCCGAACGUCCAGCAAACUUGCAGCGUUAGUGCUGUUAUAUGUGGACUGUUGUAAUUUGCUGCGGGAGGCAGAAGGGGCUUUGUAUGUGUCCGAUGUCUUCACCGCAUUGGUCCUUGUGGCCAGUUGGCUGAGCACAGUAGCGGCAUCGAGCUGUUUAUACGUUAAAUGUAGAGCUCUGGACAUUUACGAAGCUCAAUUAUUACAGCUCGUAGCGACACCAAAGUCGAGAUUUGAUUGGAUUUCAUCAACUUGUCCCAGAGAGGGAUUAUACCUACUUCCGAACGUGUUCCUUGUCCCGGCGCAGGCUUUUUUACUGUCAUCUAUAUUUUAUGACACUGAUUUAUCUAACCUACCUUUAUAGUUGUAUUAACAUUGACAAUGAACAUGAAUUAAAUAUACUAAAUGCGACCUAACACAUAAGGGUUCGAUUUUCUUAACUAAUCUUUGAUAAAAUUUGAUUCAUGUCUGCGAACUUCACUUUAUUGGUUUCAAACACGUGCCUCAACUUAGUAACUGUAUGUAUGUUAGUUUUUUUAAUCUAAAUCAGCUAAAUUGCAAGUUAGGGAACAAAUUGAGUUAAUUAAAAACUGGUUCAACAGUUUUUAAGAUGUGUUGAAUAGAUACAUUUUAAUUAUUCGUAGCAAUAGUUAUUAGUUAUAGAUUAAUCGUCAGAAGUGUCUUAGAUUAAAAAAUAUUUUAAGUAAAUAAAAUGUAUUGAAUCAUUUCGUCUAUUUUCAAUUAUACAUAUGUAUAAUGAAAAUAAUCUUAUGACUGAAAUAGACAUCUUAAGUAGACAAAGAGAUAAACAGAGGCCUACAAGAAGCAUGUGAUUUAUAUCAAAUAACGGCUUUGUUUAAUUGUGUUACCUACCAUGUGUGUGAUAACUUUAUUUAGCAAACUCGUUGUGAAUGAAAAUUACCCAAGUACAAUAAUUAAGUUAAAUUAGGAUCUAAUACUUUGACAAAUGACUUGUUUUGAUUAAUAAAAUACUGUUUUAUUCAAAGUUUUUAUAAUAGUUGUUAAGAAUCUAAAAUAAUCACUAAGCUGGCACUCCUCUCGCCGUUGCACUCUACCUGUAACGUAAGGGACCUAAGUUUUAUUGUGAAAGUCUAAAAAGCAAUGAAAAAGAUAUAUCGAUUUUAACAAACGACACUCAAACUAGAUUACACAACGCAAACGUGUUUUAAACACUUAAGAUUAAUAAUAGUAUUAAGUAAUAUAAUUAUAUCAAAAUACACGCCAUGAACCAACAAUGCUUGCUGUAGGUAUGGGUAUUAAAUGAUGCUAUUUACAUUUUAUUUGUUGAUAUGACACCUGUUCUUUAAAUAUUAUUAAAAUCACAAUAUUUGGAUUUUGUGUUUUGCUUUUUGUCUACAUAUUUCUUACUUUUAAAAAACUAGAAAAUUCUCAUUUA